GACGAACGCUGGCGGCGCGCCUAACACAUGCAAGUCGAACGAGCGAGAGAGAGCUUGCUUUCUCGAGCGAGUGGCGAACGGGUGAGUAACGCGUGAGGAACCUGCCUCAAAGAGGGGGACAACAGUUGGAAACGACUGCUAAUACCGCAUAAGCCCACGGCUCGGCAUCGAGCAGGGGGAAAAGGAGCAAUCCGCUUUGAGAUGGCCUCGCGUCCGAUUAGCUAGUUGGUGAGGUAACGGCCCACCAAGGCGACGAUCGGUAGCCGGACUGAGAGGUUGAACGGCCACAUUGGGACUGAGACACGGCCCAGACUCCUACGGGAGGCAGCAGUGGGGAAUAUUGCACAAUGGGGGAUACCCUGAUGCAGCGACGCCGCGUGGAGGAAGAAGGUCUUCGGAUUGUAAACUCCUGUUGUUGGGGAAGAUAAUGACGGUACCCAACAAGGAAGUGACGGCUAACUACGUG
RNAcentral lists this ribosomal RNA (466 nucleotides) under uncultured bacterium. RNAcentral describes it as "partial 16S ribosomal RNA". It matches the Rfam family "Bacterial small subunit ribosomal RNA", at positions 28 to 507 of the family's 1533-position model. The record is from RNAcentral.